CAUUUUUAGGUGUCUACAGUAAGUGACACUACAGUUAGGCCAAAAAGGCUAAGGGUGUGGAAAUAUAUUAAAAAAGUCAAAUAAUCACUACCACAAAAAGUGGCAAAAGUAACACAUAAUACUUAACUAUUAAGUUGGACAGGCGUUCUCUAGAAGUAAAUAGAACGCCUUUGUUAGAGGAUAGCUUUAUAUGUUGAAUCAAAUAGAACGCCCCUCAUUAAGAACAGUUUAAUAUAAUUUACCAUAAUAAAAAUAAAAAUAAAAUAAAAUAUGGAUAUACAUUAUAGAACGGUGUUCUAUUUUGACAGUUCCCACUUGAUUUGUCAGUUAUUAUUUUAUUUCAACCACUCCCUACUAGUUAAAACCUAAUCCCCCUAAUUUUCACUUAGCUUCUAGCCUUCUACCGCCUCCUCUUUCUUCAUUUUCUCUAUAGCUCCUCCUCUUCAAUGAAAUUUUGCUUCUUUCAUCUUUAGAUCCCUCUAUGCUUUCUUUCAUCUCCAACAUAAUCUAGAGGUUUCUAUUUCAAUAAUUCCUUUUCCGACCCCCCUUUUCAUUCGAGUGCGAAAUCAAUUUCGAUCCAUGAUUCUCCCACAAGCCCAGAUUGGAACCUUCGAAUUACUUUCUCCAUGGAAAGCAUUCCCCGUGAAUCUAAGCGCUACAAGCACCGCCAUCACCGCCACCACUACUGCCAUAGAAGCUCCAUCACCAUCACCUUCACCUUCACCUUCGUUGCAUAGCCACCGCCUCGGGUUGUUAGAUUGCAUCGUCCUACUUCAACAAGAGCAUUUAAAAUUCGAUUUUUGGGAGGGAUUUACAUAAUAAGGUUUUGAAGUAAAGGAGCUUGAUACAACGUAAAUUGAUUUGGUGAUUUUGGUCGUAUCAGCUGGGAUAAUUCUAGAGAUCGGAGUUGGUUUUUAGCAUCUAAUAUGAACUGUAAUUUUGAUUAUACUAGAUUGAUUUUGUACCUGAUUUCAUUUUCUAUGUAUAUUAUUAUUGAGUUGAAUUGAAAUCUUAAUUCAUUAGUCCAUUUGUAAAUUCUUGAUUAAAGUUAAUAAUGCAUUAGUUUUCUUACUUA
Long non-coding RNA from Chenopodium quinoa (quinoa), 1075 nucleotides. RefSeq lists it as uncharacterized. The record is from RefSeq and is a predicted model, not a curated record. NCBI's taxonomy places the organism in Eukaryota, Viridiplantae, Streptophyta, Magnoliopsida, Caryophyllales, Amaranthaceae. The transcript is spliced from 2 exons.